This 71-nucleotide transfer RNA is filed under the name Loxodonta africana (African savanna elephant). It matches the Rfam family "tRNA". Rfam says of the family: Transfer RNA (tRNA) molecules are approximately 80 nucleotides in length. Their secondary structure includes four short double-helical elements and three loops (D, anti-codon, and T loops). Further hydrogen bonds mediate the characteristic L-shaped molecular structure. tRNAs have two regions of fundamental functional importance: the anti-codon, which is responsible for specific mRNA codon recognition, and the 3' end, to which the tRNAs corresponding amino acid is attached (by aminoacyl-tRNA synthetases). tRNAs cope with the degeneracy of the genetic code in two manners: having more than one tRNA (with a specific anti-codon) for a particular amino acid; and 'wobble' base-pairing, i.e. permitting non-standard base-pairing at the 3rd anti-codon position. Lineage: Eukaryota; Metazoa; Chordata; Mammalia; Proboscidea; Elephantidae. The record is from Rfam by way of RNAcentral.
GCAGUGGUGGUUCAGUGUUAGAAUUCUCGGCUUCCAUGUGGGAGACCCAGGUUCGAUUCCUCACCAGUGCA